GGGCGUAGCUCAGGGGUAGAGCACAACCUUGCCAAGGUUGGGGUCGAGAGUUCGAAUCUCUUCGCCC
This 67-nucleotide transfer RNA is filed under the name Asterionellopsis glacialis. It matches the Rfam family "tRNA". From Rfam's summary of the family: Transfer RNA (tRNA) molecules are approximately 80 nucleotides in length. Their secondary structure includes four short double-helical elements and three loops (D, anti-codon, and T loops). Further hydrogen bonds mediate the characteristic L-shaped molecular structure. tRNAs have two regions of fundamental functional importance: the anti-codon, which is responsible for specific mRNA codon recognition, and the 3' end, to which the tRNAs corresponding amino acid is attached (by aminoacyl-tRNA synthetases). tRNAs cope with the degeneracy of the genetic code in two manners: having more than one tRNA (with a specific anti-codon) for a particular amino acid; and 'wobble' base-pairing, i.e. permitting non-standard base-pairing at the 3rd anti-codon position. Lineage: Eukaryota; Bacillariophyta; Plagiogrammaphyceae; Rhaphoneidales; Asterionellopsidaceae. The record is from RNAcentral.